Molecule: ribosomal RNA, 532 nt
Filed under: Pallidocercospora heimii
Lineage: Eukaryota; Fungi; Ascomycota; Dothideomycetes; Mycosphaerellales; Mycosphaerellaceae
Description: eukaryotic LSU rRNA
Rfam family: 5.8S ribosomal RNA (bases 176-329)
Source: RNAcentral
UCCGUAGGGUGACCUGCGGAGGGAUCAUUACUGAGUGAGGGCUACGGUCCGACCUCCAACCCUUUGUGAACCAAACUUGUUGCUUCGGGGGCGACCCUGCCGCUUCGGCGGUGCGGCGCCCCCGGAGGCCAUUAAACACUGCAUCAUUGCGUCGGAGUAAAAGUAAAUUAAACAAAACUUUCAACAACGGAUCUCUUGGUUCCAGCAUCGAUGAAGAACGCAGCGAAAUGCGAUAAGUAAUGUGAAUUGCAGAAUUCAGUGAAUCAUCGAAUCUUUGAACGCACAUUGCGCCCUCUGGUAUUCCGGGGGGCAUGCCUGUUCGAGCGUCAUUUCACCACUCAAGCCUGGCUUGGUAUUGGGCGUCGCGGCUCCGCGCGCCUUAAAGUCUUCCGGCUGAGCUGUCCGUCUCUAAGCGUUGUGGCAACUAUUCGCUUCGGAGGUCGGGUGGCCGCGGCCGUUAAAUCUUUCACAAGGUUGACCUCGGAUCAGGUAGGGAUACCCGCUGAACUUAAGCAUAUCAAUAAGCGGAGGA